UACGUAGGGCGCAAGCGUUAUCCGGAAUUAUUGGGCGUAAAGAGCUCGUAGGCGGUUGUCGCGUCUGCCGUGAAAGUCCGGGGCUCAACUCCGGAUCUGCGGUGGGUACGGGCAGACUAGAGUGAUGUAGGGGAGACUGGAAUUCCUGGUGUAGCGGUGAAAUGCGCAGAUAUCAGGAGGAACACCGAUGGCGAAGGCAGGUCUCUGGGCAUAACUGACGCUGAGGAGCGAAAGCAUGGGGAGCGAACAGG
RNAcentral lists this ribosomal RNA (251 nucleotides) under uncultured bacterium. RNAcentral's name for it is "partial 16S ribosomal RNA". It matches the Rfam family "Bacterial small subunit ribosomal RNA", at positions 524 to 776 of the family's 1533-position model. The record is from RNAcentral.